Molecule: long non-coding RNA, 240 nt
Organism: Etheostoma spectabile (orangethroat darter)
Lineage: Eukaryota; Metazoa; Chordata; Actinopteri; Perciformes; Percidae
Exons: 5
Source: RefSeq, a predicted model, not a curated record
AUACGCCUGUUAUAUUGUUGAUGUCCUGACCGACCUGACACCAGCAGUGCUCCUAACGUGCGAGGUCAGAAUACUGAUAGUGGGAGCAUCUGCCGUGAAGCCUCCUUUGAAGGAAUUAGUCGUUUCCAAGUGAACAACACCCUUUUACACCCAGUCAUUGUGGAAUGCCGUCGAUUAAGACUGAUAUGGAGCUGGAAGUCUGCGCUACACCAACGGAUUUCCAGUGAAGCCCAUAAAAUG